GCCGGCGUGGCGGAAUUGGUAGACGCAGCGGAUUCAAAAUCCGCCGCUGGAAACAGUGUGUCGGUUCGAGUCCGACCGCCGGCACCA
This 87-nucleotide transfer RNA is filed under the name Salinicola rhizosphaerae. RNAcentral's name for it is "tRNA-Leu". It matches the Rfam family "tRNA". From Rfam's summary of the family: Transfer RNA (tRNA) molecules are approximately 80 nucleotides in length. RNAcentral also lists the same sequence under 13 other names. The record is from RNAcentral. Lineage: Bacteria; Pseudomonadati; Pseudomonadota; Gammaproteobacteria; Oceanospirillales; Halomonadaceae.